Molecule: ribosomal RNA, 301 nt
Filed under: uncultured bacterium
Lineage: Bacteria
Description: partial 16S ribosomal RNA
Rfam family: Bacterial small subunit ribosomal RNA
Source: RNAcentral
CAGCAGCCGCGGUAAUACGGAGGGUGCAAGCGUUAAUCGGAAUUACUGGGCGUAAAGCGCACGCAGGCGGUCUGACAAGUCAGAUGUGAAAUCCCCGGGCUUAACCUGGGAACUGCAUUUGAAACUGUCAGGCUGGAGUCUUGUAGAGGGGGGUGGAAUUCCAGGUGUAGCGGUGAAAUGCGUAGAGAUCUGGAGGAAUACCGGUGGCGAAGGCAGCCAUCUGGCCUAAUACUGACGCUGAGGUACGAAAGCAUGGGGAGCAAACAGGAUUAGAUACCCGAGUAGUCCCUGUCUCUUAUAC